Equus quagga is the source of this 296-nucleotide long non-coding RNA. RefSeq lists it as uncharacterized. NCBI's taxonomy places the organism in Eukaryota, Metazoa, Chordata, Mammalia, Perissodactyla, Equidae. The transcript is spliced from 3 exons. The record is from RefSeq and is a predicted model, not a curated record.
UGACAUUUGGGUAUUGGAAAAAUGACCCAGGCUAAGAGCAUCCUCUGUAACAUUUUCGUCCAGUCAAUAGGAAAAGGUUCAUAUAAAGCUGCUGACCAGCCAUCUCACGGGGAAGAAACCAGUAUUUCCAUAGUCCCACCACCUGGCCUUGUCAGCACUGUCCCUUGAUCUUUUUUCAGGCUGCUGCUUGGUUAUGUUUUCCUCUGAGCAGACACAGAAAGGGGAAUGGACUUAGGGCUGCCCCCUAGGGGUGGCGGCAACCGUGUGAUGAGAUGCGACAAAGAGCUACACACAAA